Molecule: ribosomal RNA, 323 nt
Filed under: uncultured Pseudomonadota bacterium
Lineage: Bacteria; Pseudomonadati; Pseudomonadota
Description: bacterial SSU rRNA
Rfam family: Bacterial small subunit ribosomal RNA
Source: RNAcentral
AUUGAACGCUGGCGGAAUGCUUUACACAUGCAAGUCGAACGGCAGCACGGGAGCUUGCUCCUGGUGGCGAGUGGCGAACGGGUGAGUAAUACCUAGGAACAUGUCCAGUAGUGGGGGAUAACGCAGCGAAAGCUGUGCUAAUACCGCAUACGCCCUACGGGGGAAAGCGGGGGAUCGUAAGACCUCGCGUUAUUGGAGUGGCCUAGGCCUGAUUAGCUAGUUGGUGAGGUAAAGGCUCACCAAGGCGACGAUCAGUAGCUGGUCUGAGAGGAUGAUCAGCCACACUGGAACUGAGACACGGUCCAGACUCCUACGGGAGGCAG